AAGAUUAAGCCAUGCAUGUCUCAGUACAAGCCAAAUUAAGGUGAAACCGCGAAAGGCUCAUUAAAUCAGUUAUGGUUCCUUAGAUCGUACCCACAUUUACUUGGAUAACUGUGGUAAUUCUAGAGCUAAUACAUGCAAAUAGAGCUCCGACCGGAAACGGAAGGAGCGCUUUUAUUAGAUCAAAACCAAUCGGUGGCGGGUUCGCUCGUCAUCGUACAAUUUGGUGACUCUGAAUAACUUUACGCUGAUCGCACGGUCUAGCACCGGCGACGCAUCUUUCAAAUGUCUGCCUUAUCAACUGUCGAUGGUAGGUUCUGCGCCUACCAUGGUUGUAACGGGUAACGGGGAAUCAGGGUUCGAUUCCGGAGAGGGAGCCUGAGAAACGGCUACCACAUCCAAGGAAGGCAGCAGGCGCGCAAAUUACCCACUCCCGGCACGGGGAGGUAGUGACGAAAAAUAACGAUACGGGACUCAUCCGAGGCCCCGUAAUCGGAAUGAGUACACUCUAAACCCUUUAACGAGGAUCAAUUGGAGGGCAAGUCUGGUGCCAGCAGCCGCGGUAAUUCCAGCUCCAAUAGCGUAUAUUAAAGUUGUUGCGGUUAAAAAGCUCGUAGUCGAAUCUGUGUCCCGCGCCGCCGGUUCAUCGUUCGCGGUGUUAACUGGCGUGCCGCGGGACGUCCUGCCGGUGGGCUUAGCUCGCAAGGGCGGCCCAACACAAUCCCGCCGCGGUGCUCUUCAUUGAGUGUCGAGGUGGGCCGGCACGUUUACUUUGAACAAAUUAGAGUGCUUAAAGCAGGCCAAAACUUCGCCUGAAUACUGUGUGCAUGGAAUAAUGAAAUAGGACCUCGGUUCUAUUUUGUUGGUUUUCGGAACUCCGAGGUAAUGAUUAAUAGGAACGGAUGGGGGCAUUCGUAUUGCGACGUUAGAGGUGAAAUUCUUGGAUCGUCGCAAGACGGACAGAAGCGAAAGCAUUUGCCAAAAACGUUUUCAUUGAUCAAGAACGAAAGUUAGAGGUUCGAAGGCGAUCAGAUACCGCCCUAGUUCUAACCAUAAACGAUGCCAGCUAGCGAUCCGCCGACGUUCCUCCGAUGACUCGGCGGGCAGCUUCCGGGAAACCAAAGCUUUUGGGUUCCGGGGGAAGUAUGGUUGCAAAGCUGAAACUUAAAGGAAUUGACGGAAGGGCACCACCAGGAGUGGAGCCUGCGGCUUAAUUUGACUCAACACGGGAAACCUCACCAGGCCCGGACACCGGAAGGAUUGACAGAUUGAGAGCUCUUUCUUGAUUCGGUGGGUGGUGGUGCAUGGCCGUUCUUAGUUGGUGGAGCGAUUUGUCUGGUUAAUUCCGAUAACGAACGAGACUCUAGCCUGUUAACUAGGCGUAUUAGACAUCCCAAAGGCCCGCGAGUUCGGAGUUCGCUCCGUUUCUUGCGCGGUUUUUACUGUCUGCGUACAUACAAUUCUUCUUAGAGGGACAGGCGGCAUUUAGCCGCACGAGAUUGAGCAAUAACAGGUCUGUGAUGCCCUUAGAUGUUCUGGGCCGCACGCGCGCUACACUGAAGGAAUCAGCGUGUCCUCCCUGGCCGAACGGCCCGGGUAACCCGCUGAACCUCCUUCGUGCUAGGGAUUGGGGCUUGCAAUUGUUCCCCAUGAACGAGGAAUUCCCAGUAAGCGCGAGUCAUAAGCUCGCGUUGAUUACGUCCCUGCCCUUUGUACACACCGCCCGUCGCUACUACCGAUUGAAUGAUUUAGUGAGGUCUUCGGACCGGUACGCGGUGGCGUUUCGACGUCGCCGAUGUUGCUGGGAAGAUGACCAAACUUGAUCAUUUAGAGGAAGUAA
RNAcentral lists this ribosomal RNA (1837 nucleotides) under Aphorista morosa. Its description in RNAcentral is "SSU rRNA". It matches the Rfam family "Eukaryotic small subunit ribosomal RNA". Lineage: Eukaryota; Metazoa; Arthropoda; Insecta; Coleoptera; Endomychidae. The record is from RNAcentral.